Molecule: long non-coding RNA, 623 nt
Organism: Numida meleagris (helmeted guineafowl)
Lineage: Eukaryota; Metazoa; Chordata; Aves; Galliformes; Numididae
Exons: 4
Source: RefSeq, a predicted model, not a curated record
CCCUUUGAGCAUCUCAAUAUUACAUUUAACGCACAGACUUAAUAACAUAUAUUUCUUUUCUUUUUAGGAAAAGAUGUAAUUAUGGUUAAUGCCAUAACUGGCAUUAUCAAAUGCCAAAAAAAAUCUUUAUUUUUUAUUAUCUUUGGUUACAAAUGCUGAUAUUGAUUUGAGGUUGAUUGACGCAUGUUCCACAUAUGUGAUGUUUUACUCUAUGGACAAAUGAUCAAAACGUGAAGUAAAAAAGUUUCAUGCCUGUAGCAGAAAUGCUAAGUCACGGCUUGAAGCAGUGAUUGAGCACCUGGUGGGAAGGCAGGGCCAACCCAAUGGAGCUCAGGUGCAUGCAAUGCACCUAAGUGACAGGUAGGGGUGGAGCCAGGAUCCACCCCUUCCCAGAGCACAAUGAAGUGUUGGCAGUGGAGGCAAAGGGAUAUUACUGGAGGUUCUUAUGUAUGUGAGGCUUUCCAAGGUUUGUUGAUGAAGGUGCCAACAGUCCUUGGAUUUCGUGGUCUGUUCUUUAUGCCAGCGCUCAUCCUGAGGCUCACAGAGGACUCUUGGCAGUUUCUGCUAUUUCAUCUCUAAGACCGGACAAUUGCCUGUUGUCUUCAUUAAUUCUGUUUGAAGUG